CACUGCCCCCUUGCACACUCCCCUGAGGGCUUCCAGGCUCCUGUCCCCUUCUACACCUGCCCAGGGGCAUCCCAGCUCCUGCCCCCUUGCACACUCCCCUGUGGACAUCCAGGUUCCUGCCCCCUUGCACACCCCCAUGGGCAUCCACGCUUCUGCCCCCUUGCACAGACCUCCCCCCCGCCCCUUAGGCUUUCAGGCUUCUUGUCCCUUGGCACACACCGCCUCCUACGCCCCUUGCACUCUCUCCCUUCUCUCCCCAUCCCCUUGCACGCGCCUCCCCUCUUAUUACCUUCCUCUCCCAGGGGCGCAGCCCCCAAACACAAAGCAAAAGUGGUGCCAGGCUGGGCCCGGCGGGGCAGGAGCCGGGGGCUGACGUCAGGGCCCCAAAUCCGUGCCUUUGGCUGCAGGCAGAUUUGUCCUUUUACGUGCGAGAAAACCAGUCCACAAGAAGCGGAGGCGAGCGGCCGUUUUCAGCUGGAUCGAGCGUGACCCCCGGCAGACCAAGCCUGGCGUGUUCACAGCUGGACGGGGCAGCAUUUGCACCAGGGAGCGAGAAGGGUUGCGGUGCCGAAGGCAGCUCUGCCAAACCUCGCUCAUUUGGAAGGAGAUGCUUGGACGGCUUCUCAAGCACUUUGUGAGUGCCUCGCCCUGGCGAUGAAGGAUUUUGCUCUGCACUUUCAGGAGACGUUUCAAAUCUCACUCAUCGCUUCCUGAAAUCCCCCUCCUUCAAACAGCGGGGUUUGACAGCCCGCGGAGGAUAAGUUGGCCUGCUAAAUUGCAACGCCUGCGUGGGUUAGGGGCGCGGAGACGCAGCGCAGCCUGCCCGCGUGGAUCGUAUUGCCGGAUCAGGGCCAGAGCCCGGGAACAUUUGGUGGGUUUUGGAGCGUGGAGAUUUCAGAUGGAUGCAGGCCCUCAAAUUUAGCAGGCAGAGGCAGAGCAAGAGCCGACUGCUGGAAGCCGAAGCUAGGGAAAUGCAAACUGGAAACACUGGGCAAGUUUCUAACGGUAAAAGGAAGUCACACUUGGAAGACGGCUUACUCGAGGCACGUGAUGGCAAAUCUUCCAGUCAGGCCUUUGAAUCAAGGUUGCACCACUGCCCAAAAGAUGCACGUCCGCUCAGCUGAACGCCCCGGACUCUGUGCAAGAAACAGGUCAAAUCCUGCUGCUCAUAUCGUGCCG
RNAcentral lists this long non-coding RNA (1179 nucleotides) under Crocodylus porosus (Australian saltwater crocodile). Its description in RNAcentral is "lncRNA (ENSCPRG00005012526.1)". The record is from RNAcentral. Lineage: Eukaryota; Metazoa; Chordata; Crocodylia; Crocodylidae.